This 252-nucleotide long non-coding RNA is filed under the name Elaeis guineensis (African oil palm). RNAcentral describes it as "long non-coding RNA (EGUI_LNC067604)". Lineage: Eukaryota; Viridiplantae; Streptophyta; Magnoliopsida; Arecales; Arecaceae. The record is from RNAcentral.
ACCAUAUUCAAUCUUUGAGUCUCACAGACUAGGAUGCCUAAGACCUCUCAAACUCGCGUCUAAAGCGCAUUACCGCGUCCGCCUCACGUGAACUCCUACGCUUGUUCGUCCGCUCGCUGGCCUCGCUCGCUUGUUCCCAGCCUUGCCCACAUGAACCCAUUCCGCGCCAAACCAAGCUAGCAACCAAAUUCAAAUCGCGCGCUAUCUGGUCGCCCAUGCCCACUUGCUGCGUGAACCAACGUCAACACACCC